GGUGAGAAGCUUGCUUCUCACCGGCGACGAGUGGCGAACGGGUGAGUAAUACAUCGGAACGUGUCCGCUCGUGGGGGACAACCAGCCGAAAGGUUGGCUAAUACCGCAUGAGUUCUACGGAAGAAAGAGGGGGACCCGCAAGGGCCUCUCGCGAGCGGAGCGGCCGAUGACUGAUUAGCCGGUUGGUGAGGUAACGGCUCACCAAAGCAACGAUCAGUAGCUGGUCUGAGAGGACGACCAGCCACACUGGGACUGAGACACGGCCCAGACUCCUACGGGAGGCAGCAGUGGGGAAUUUUGGACAAUGGGCGCAAGCCUGAUCCAGCUAUUCCGCGUGUGGGAUGAAGGCCCUCGGGUUGUAAACCACUUUUGUAGAGAACGAAAAGACACCUUUUAAAAAAGGGUGUUGCUGACGGUACUCUAAGAAUAAGCACCGGCUAACUACGUGCCAGCAGCCGCGGUAAUACGUAGGGUGCGAGCGUUAAUCGGAAUUACUGGGCGUAAAGGGUGCGCAGGCGGUUGAGUAAGACAGAUGUGAAAUCCCCGAGCUUAACUCGGGAAUGGCAUAUGUGACUGCUCGACUAGAGUGUGUCAGAGGGAGGUGGAAUUCCACGUGUAGCAGUGAAAUGCGUAGAUAUGUGGAAGAACACCGAUGGCGAAGGCAGCCUCCUGGGACAUAACUGACGCUCAGGCACGAAA
This 699-nucleotide ribosomal RNA is filed under the name uncultured beta proteobacterium. RNAcentral describes it as "bacterial SSU rRNA". It matches the Rfam family "Bacterial small subunit ribosomal RNA", at positions 68 to 758 of the family's 1533-position model. The record is from RNAcentral. Lineage: Bacteria; Pseudomonadati; Pseudomonadota; Betaproteobacteria.